AAAUGCGAUAAGUAAUGUGAAUUGCAGAAUUCAGUGAAUCAUCGAAUCUUUGAACGCACAUUGCGCCCGCCAGCACUCUGGCGGGCAUGCCUGUUCGAGCGUCAUUUCAACCCUCAGAACCCCUUGCGGGAUCUGGCGUUGGGGAUUGGCAUCCAGCCAGCCCCGAAAUCUAGCGGCGGUCCCUCCGCGACCUCCCCUGUGCAGUAGCGAUACCUCGCACCGGGACAGCGGUCUGACCACGCCGUAAAACCCCCAACUUCUCAAGGUUGACCUCGAAUCAGGUAGGAAUACCCGCUGAACUUAAGC
This 306-nucleotide unclassified non-coding RNA is filed under the name plant metagenome. Its description in RNAcentral is "partial contains 5.8S ribosomal RNA, internal transcribed spacer 2, and large subunit ribosomal RNA". The stretch from base 1 to 104 matches the Rfam family "5.8S ribosomal RNA", at positions 51 to 154 of the family's 154-position model. The record is from RNAcentral.